UUCUUGUCUACUGACCCAGUUGCCUCGGUGGGCCGAGCCGUUCGCGGCCGGCUGGUGGAAACUUCGGUUUACCUUGUGUAAACUGCUGCUUCCUCGGGCUUGUGCCCGCCGAUGGACAUUAAAAAUCUAAUAUAUUGGCCGUCUGAGCAUAUAAAGCAAAAUCUUUUAAAACUUUCAACAACGGAUCUCUUGGUUCCGGCAUCGAUGAAGAACGCAGCGAAAUGCGAUAAGUAAUGUGAAUUGCAGAAUUCCGUGAAUCAUCGAAUCUUUGAACGCACAUUGCGCCCUCUGGUAUUCCGGAGGGCAUGCCUGUUCGAGCGUCAUUGCAACCCUCAAGCUCGGCUUGUGUGAUGGGCGAUCGUCCUUCCUUUAGGCGGGACGCGUUCGAAAAGCAGUGGCUAGGCCGCGAUACCGGCGCCUAAGCGAAUGGGAUUUCCAACGCUUAUAGGACCGGCCGGUUUUUUGGCCUUAAAAUCUAGAUCUUUAUUGAUCUAUCUAGGUUGACCUCGGAUCAGG
Molecule: ribosomal RNA, 516 nt
Filed under: Chrysosporium vallenarense
Lineage: Eukaryota; Fungi; Ascomycota; Eurotiomycetes; Onygenales; Onygenaceae
Description: eukaryotic LSU rRNA
Rfam family: 5.8S ribosomal RNA (bases 170-323)
Source: RNAcentral